UUUCGACAUAAGCUACUGCAGUUGUGUGGACGUGUUGCGUGCAGCCGACAUCAUUUACCCAAAUAUCAGGACAGUUACAAGAGCUCACAGAUGACGAAACAGUCAGCACUGAUGAUUCAUACAGGAUUUGAGAAGCACCCAAAGUCAGCAUGGAUUGUCGAACCAGGAUACUUCAGUUUGAAAGCUUUCGGACAGUACUCGCAGUGCAGUAGCUGAUCUUGAGCUUGCGAGAGCCUGUGAGCAGAUCUAGCCUAUAGUAUGCAAAGGUGCAGUGAUGGGCAAAAUGGAACUGAAAGAAAGCAGUUAAGGAUAGACAGGCUUUUUCAGUUUCGCAGCGACGUCCUAACUUCGUAAUGGCAAGGUGAUGGAUGUUGCUGCUUGUUGAGUUUUUCAUGUCUUGUCAAGUUUGCGCCUGAAAGAAGAGGUGAUGGAGGGACACACCCUGGGGCCUAUGCACCUUCACGUUCAGUCGUACCUUUGGACUGUGUUAAAUAUUUCAAUAUUGGAACAGUUGAUCAAUGGUAAUUGUUCAAAUACAGUAAGUUGCUCUGGAGUGACUGGUAUCUUUCCGUAAGUGUUCAACAUAUGUAAAGGCUUCUUAAGUGAUGGAAAUUUAACCUCUGCUGCAUCUUAUACCUUUCAUCUUGAAACUUCUACAUUCGAGAAGUAUUGAUAAAUGUCCGUUGUUAAUAUAUUGGUAUAAGUAAAUGUCAAUUUAACAUUAUACACCACACUUUGGCCAUAUUACUUGUAAGAAUAAUCUAAUUAUCUAUACUAUCUACUCUAUGCUGGAUGUAUCUCUAAUUUGAACGUUAACUGUAAGUACACGAUAGUUAAUUUUGCAUUAACUGUAUAAUCUUGCAAAGAACUCAUAAGGUUCUAUACAUGUACAGUGUUCUAGCCAGGCAUCAAAUAGCGCU
This 920-nucleotide long non-coding RNA is filed under the name Patiria miniata (bat star). RNAcentral describes it as "uncharacterized LOC119734772". Lineage: Eukaryota; Metazoa; Echinodermata; Asteroidea; Valvatida; Asterinidae. The record is from RNAcentral.